RNAcentral lists this ribosomal RNA (264 nucleotides) under uncultured bacterium. Its description in RNAcentral is "partial 16S ribosomal RNA". It matches the Rfam family "Bacterial small subunit ribosomal RNA", at positions 793 to 1055 of the family's 1533-position model. The record is from RNAcentral.
GUCCACGCCGUAAACGAUGAAUACUAGGUGUCAGGGAGCACAGCUCUUUGGUGCCGCCGCAAACGCAUUAAGUAUUCCACCUGGGGAGUACGUUCGCAAGAAUGAAACUCAAAGGAAUUGACGGGGACCCCGCACAAGCGGUGGAGCAUGUGGUUUAAUUCGAAGCAACGCGAAGAACCUUACCAAAUCUUGACAUCCCUCUGACCGGGACUUAACCGUCCCCUUUCUUCGGAACAGAGGAGACAGGUGGUGCAUGGUUGUCGU